This 301-nucleotide ribosomal RNA is filed under the name uncultured bacterium. RNAcentral's name for it is "partial 16S ribosomal RNA". It matches the Rfam family "Bacterial small subunit ribosomal RNA", at positions 509 to 809 of the family's 1533-position model. The record is from RNAcentral.
CAGUCGCCGCGGGAAUACGGAGGGUGCAAGCGUUAUCCGGAUUUAUUGGGUUUAAAGGGUCCGUAGGCGGAUCUGUAAGUCAGUGGUGAAAUCUCACAGCUUAACUGUGAAACUGCCAUUGAUACUGCAGGUCUUGAGUAAAUUUGAAGUGGCUGGAAUAAGUAGUGUAGCGGUGAAAUGCAUAGAUAUUACUUAGAACACCAAUUGCGAAGGCAGGUCACUAAGAUUUAACUGACGCUGAUGGACGAAAGCGUGGGGAGCGAACAGGAUUAGAUACCCCAGUAGUCCCUGUCUCUUAUAA